UUAACACAUGCAAGUCGAACGAAGCACUCUAUUUGAUUUUCUUCGGAAAUGAAGAUUUUGUGACUGAGUGGCGGACGGGUGAGUAACGCGUGGGUAACCUGCCUCAUACAGGGGGAUAACAGUUGGAAACGACUGCUAAUACCGCAUAAGCGCACAGGAUUGCAUGAUCCGGUGUGAAAAACUCCGGUGGUAUGAGAUGGACCCGCGUCUGAUUAGCCAGUUGGCAGGGUAACGGCCUACCAAAGCGACGAUCAGUAGCCGACCUGAGAGGGUGACCGGCCACAUUGGGACUGAGACACGGCCCAAACUCCUACGGGAGGCAGCAGUGGGGAAUAUUGCACAAUGGGGGAAACCCUGAUGCAGCGACGCCGCGUGAGCGAAGAAGUAUUUCGGUAUGUAAAGCUCUAUCAGCAGGGAAGAAGAAUGACGGUACCUGACUAAGAAGCACCGGCUAAAUACGUGCCAGCAGCCGCGGUAAUACGUAUGGUGCAAGCGUUAUCCGGAUUUACUGGGUGUAAGGGGAGCGCAGGCGGUGCGGCAAGUCUGAUGUGAAAGCCCGGGGCUCAACCCCGGUACUGCAUUGGAAACUGUCGUACUAGAGUGUCGGAGGGGUAAGUGGAAUUCCUAGUGUAGCGGUGAAAUGCGUAGAUAUUAGGAGGACACCAGUGGCGAAGGCGGCUUACUGGACG
RNAcentral lists this ribosomal RNA (689 nucleotides) under uncultured Lachnospiraceae bacterium. Its description in RNAcentral is "bacterial SSU rRNA". It matches the Rfam family "Bacterial small subunit ribosomal RNA", at positions 48 to 735 of the family's 1533-position model. The record is from RNAcentral. Lineage: Bacteria; Bacillati; Bacillota; Clostridia; Lachnospirales; Lachnospiraceae.